Molecule: ribosomal RNA, 1369 nt
Filed under: uncultured bacterium
Lineage: Bacteria
Description: bacterial SSU rRNA
Rfam family: Bacterial small subunit ribosomal RNA
Source: RNAcentral
GACGAACGCUGGCGGCGUGCCUAAUACAUGCAAGUAGAACGCUGAAGAGAGGAGCUUGCUCUUCUUGGAUGAGUUGCGAACGGGUGAGUAACGCGUAGGUAACCUGCCUUGUAGCGGGGGAUAACUAUUGGAAACGAUAGCUAAUACCGCAUAACAAUGGAUGACACAUGUCAUUUAUUUGAAAGGGGCAAUUGCUCCACUACAAGAUGGACCUGCGUUGUAUUAGCUAGUAGGUGAGGUAAUGGCUCACCUAGGCGACGAUACAUAGCCGACCUGAGAGGGUGAUCGGCCACACUGGGACUGAGACACGGCCCAGACUCCUACGGGAGGCAGCAGUAGGGAAUCUUCGGCAAUGGGGGCAACCCUGACCGAGCAACGCCGCGUGAGUGAAGAAGGUUUUCGGAUCGUAAAGCCCUGUUGUAAGUCAAGAACGGGUGUGAGAGUGGAAAGUUCACACUGUGACGGUAGCUUACCAGAAAGGGACGGCUAACUACGUGCCAGCAGCCGCGGUAAUACGUAGGUCCCGAGCGUUGUCCGGAUUUAUUGGGCGUAAAGCGAGCGCAGGCGGUUUGAUAAGUCUGAAGUUAAAGGCUGUGGCUCAACCAUAGUUCGCUUUGGAAACUGUCAAACUUGAGUGCAGAAGGGGAGAGUGGAAUUCCAUGUGUAGCGGUGAAAUGCGUAGAUAUAUGGAGGAACACCGGUGGCGAAAGCGGCUCUCUGGUCUGUAACUGACGCUGAGGCUCGAAAGCGUGGGGAGCGAACAGGAUUAGAUACCCUGGUAGUCCACGCCGUAAACGAUGAGUGCUAGGUGUUGGAUCCUUUCCGGGAUUCAGUGCCGCAGCUAACGCAUUAAGCACUCCGCCUGGGGAGUACGACCGCAAGGUUGAAACUCAAAGGAAUUGACGGGGGCCCGCACAAGCGGUGGAGCAUGUGGUUUAAUUCGAAGCAACGCGAAGAACCUUACCAGGUCUUGACAUCCCGAUGCUAUUUCUAGAGAUAGAAAGUUACUUCGGUACAUCGGUGACAGGUGGUGCAUGGUUGUCGUCAGCUCGUGUCGUGAGAUGUUGGGUUAAGUCCCGCAACGAGCGCAACCCCUAUUGUUAGUUGCCAUCAUUCAGUUGGGCACUCUAGCGAGACUGCCGGUAAUAAACCGGAGGAAGGUGGGGAUGACGUCAAAUCAUCAUGCCCCUUAUGACCUGGGCUACACACGUGCUACAAUGGUUGGUACAACGAGUUGCGAGUCGGUGACGGCGAACUAAUCUCUUAAAGCCAAUCUCAGUUCGGAUUGUAGGCUGCAACUCGCCUACAUGAAGUCGGAAUCGCUAGUAAUCGCGGAUCAGCACGCCGCGGUGAAUACGUUCCCGGGCCU